This is a long non-coding RNA of Lynx canadensis (Canada lynx), 76 nucleotides long. RefSeq lists it as uncharacterized. Lineage: Eukaryota; Metazoa; Chordata; Mammalia; Carnivora; Felidae. The transcript has 3 exons. The record is from RefSeq and is a predicted model, not a curated record.
UCAGCGGAGUGCAAAGCAGAGCUGUGGUAAGAAGUGGAACAGGGGACCCGCUGCUCAGAGCUUUCCAGGCUCUGCA